This 495-nucleotide ribosomal RNA is filed under the name uncultured bacterium. RNAcentral's name for it is "partial 16S ribosomal RNA". It matches the Rfam family "Bacterial small subunit ribosomal RNA", at positions 28 to 507 of the family's 1533-position model. The record is from RNAcentral.
GACGAACGCUGGCGGCGUGCCUAAUACAUGCAAGUAGAACGCUGAAGGAGGAGCUUGCUUCUCUGGAUGAGUUGCGAACGGGUGAGUAACGCGUAGGUAACCUGCCUGGUAGCGGGGGAUAACUAUUGGAAACGAUAGCUAAUACCGCAUAAGAGUAGAUGUUGCAUGACAUUUGCUUAAAAGGUGCAAUUGCAUCACUACCAGAUGGACCUGCGUUGUAUUAGCUAGUUGGUGAGGUAACGGCUCACCAAGGCGACGAUACAUAGCCGACCUGAGAGGGUGAUCUGCCACACUGGGACUGGAACACGGCCCAGAAUCCUACGGGAGGCAGCAGUAGGGAAUCUUCGGCAAUGGACGGAAGUCUGACCGAGCAACGCCGCGUGAGUGAAGAAGGUUUUCGGAUCGUAAAGCUCUGUUGUAAGAGAAGGACGAGUGUGAGAGUGGAAAGUUCACACUGUGACGGUAUCUUACCAGAAAGGGACGGCUAACUACGUG